AGCGAACGCUGGCGGCAGGCCUAACACAUGCAAGUCGAAUGGAUCCUUCGGGAUUAGUGGCGGACGGGUGAGUAACACGUGGGAACGUGCCCUUUGGUUCGGAACAACUCAGGGAAACUUGAGCUAAUACCGGAUGUGCCCUUCGGGGGAAAGAUUUAUCGCCAUUGGAGCGGCCCGCGUCUGAUUAGCUAGUUGGUGAGGUAACGGCCCACCAAGGCGACGAUCAGUAGCUGGUCUGAGAGGAUGAUCAGCCACACUGGGACUGAGACACGGCCCAGACUCCUACGGGAGGCAGCAGUGGGGAAUCUUGCGCAAUGGGCGAAAGCCUGACGCAGCCAUGCCGCGUGAAUGAUGAAGGUCUUAGGAUUGUAAAAUUCUUUCAGCGGGGACGAUAAUGACGGUACCCGCAGAAGAAGCUCCGGCUAACUUCAUG
RNAcentral lists this ribosomal RNA (433 nucleotides) under uncultured bacterium. RNAcentral describes it as "partial 16S ribosomal RNA". It matches the Rfam family "Bacterial small subunit ribosomal RNA", at positions 29 to 507 of the family's 1533-position model. The record is from RNAcentral.